UACGUAGGUGGCAAGCGUUAUCCGGAUUUACUGGGUGUAAAGGGCGUGUAGGCGGGGCUGCAAGUCAGAUGUGAAAACUCAGAGCUCAACUCUGAGCCUGCAUUUGAAACUGUAGUUCUUGAGUGCUGGAGAGGCAAUCGGAAUUCCGUGUGUAGCGGUGAAAUGCGUAGAUAUACGGAGGAACACCAGUGGCGAAGGCGGAUUGCUGGACAGUAACUGACGCUGAGGCGCGAAAGCGUGGGGAGCAAACAGG
This 253-nucleotide ribosomal RNA is filed under the name uncultured bacterium. RNAcentral describes it as "partial 16S ribosomal RNA". It matches the Rfam family "Bacterial small subunit ribosomal RNA", at positions 524 to 776 of the family's 1533-position model. The record is from RNAcentral.